Molecule: long non-coding RNA, 1155 nt
Organism: Homo sapiens (human)
Lineage: Eukaryota; Metazoa; Chordata; Mammalia; Primates; Hominidae
Gene: MIR663AHG
Product: MIR663A host gene
Source: Ensembl
GGUGACUCCAACGGUUGGCUGAGGACGAUUCCCUGAGCCUUGACAAAGCAGGAGCCCUCCGUGGCGGUGCGUCGGUGUCGAGGCUCCAGUCUGACUAAUCCAGGGGGUCGACAAAACAGAUUCGGGACACUAUGCUACACGGAGGGCCUACCAGGAUGCAGAAACAGCAGACGGAGUCCAGGGAAAGCAGUGCGGCAUCCCAGCCUCAGGCCUGCCCGUACGGUGUUCGGAUAGCAAGACAAAUCUCUCCUCUGCCUUCUCCUUAUCAGACUACUCAACAUGAAGGCAAUAAGAAUGAAGACCUCUAUGUAUAAUAAUUGACUUCCACUUAAUAAAUAAGGUUACUUGGUACACUGGUCGACAAAACCUUGAAAUGUUGAUGUUUAAGGGCUGUUGAUUGCUGGCAGCAAAGAAGUCCAACUGUGCUGGUACCCGAGAUAGCGUCUCCACAUUUUCUUCCAGGAUCAUCACCUUUGUUCUAAAUAGCUCCCACAUAGUGUGAACAGAAGUCAUAUGUUUUAGAUUUUCUGCCUUGGCACCCAGGAAACCAGUAUGAUUGAGUAAACAUAUUAAACUUCCUCUGCAUUUCCAGCCUGAACAGAUGUUGAGUACAAGCUGAUCCACCUACGUUCAACCUGAGAGAGUCCACAUCCACAGACUGUUUCAUUUCCCUUUUUCAAUUUACAUAGAAGCAUAGAUUCUUGCUGGCAUAUACAAAUGCGCCAUUUAAGGCAAUCAAAAAUGGUUCCACAUCUCAUCUGAUUUCCACAAUUGUUGCUGUAACGAUGGACUACUGAGGAGAGAGACAAUUUCUCUGGCACAUCUUCCCACAUUUUAGCAACAUGUUCAUGGAGAGCCAAUAUUCAGUAAUUACAGCCCAAUUCCUCACAAUUUCACAAUUCGCUAACAAUAUGCAUUUUCACAAUGUAAAGCUGAUUUUCCUUUAACCAAAUCAAACAUGAAAAGAUAGCUGCAUGCAAUGGGCAAUCUAGAUCAUUAGAAGAUUGAUGUAAAAUUAGAGGACACUGAGACUGGAAUAGAUUGCAAACUUCAGGGAGCUCAGAAAACUUGUAAACUCUACAUUUUGAGGAAAUAUGUUGUCGAUGCUUUUGCAACUCUAUGCAGUAACUUAACAAAUAAAGCCUUAAAGUAACU